AUUGAACGCUGGCGGCAGGCUUAACACAUGCAAGUCGAGCGGAGAGAGGUAGCUUGCUACUGAUCUUAGCGGCGGACGGGUGAGUAAUGCUUAGGAAUCUGCCUAUUAGUGGGGGACAACAUUUCGAAAGGAAUGCUAAUACCGCAUACGUCCUACGGGAGAAAGCAGGGGAUCUUCGGACCUUGCGCUAAUAGAUGAGCCUAAGUCGGAUUAGCUAGUUGAUGGGGUAAAGGCCUACCAAGGCGACGAUCUGUAGCGGGUCGGAGAGGAUGAUCCGCCACACUGGGACUGAGAGACGGCCCAGACUCCUACGGGAGGCAGCAGUGGGGAAGAUUGGACAAUGGGCGCAAGCCUGAUCCAGCCAUGCCGCGUGUGUGAAGAAGGCCUUAUGGUUGUAAAGCACUUUAAGCGAGGAGGAGGCUACUUUAGUUAAUACCUAGAGAUAGUGGACGUUACUCGCAGAAUAAGCACCGGCUAACUCUGUGCCAGCCGCCGCCGUAA
This 501-nucleotide ribosomal RNA is filed under the name uncultured bacterium. RNAcentral's name for it is "partial 16S ribosomal RNA". It matches the Rfam family "Bacterial small subunit ribosomal RNA", at positions 30 to 523 of the family's 1533-position model. The record is from RNAcentral.